GGAUCGGUAGCUCAGCUGGUUAGAGCGCUGCCCUGUCACGGCAGAGGUCGCGGGUUCGAGUCCCGUCCGUUCCGC
Molecule: transfer RNA, 75 nt
Filed under: Parcubacteria group bacterium ADurb.Bin115
Lineage: Bacteria
Description: tRNA-Asp
Rfam family: tRNA
About the family: Transfer RNA (tRNA) molecules are approximately 80 nucleotides in length. Their secondary structure includes four short double-helical elements and three loops (D, anti-codon, and T loops). Further hydrogen bonds mediate the characteristic L-shaped molecular structure. tRNAs have two regions of fundamental functional importance: the anti-codon, which is responsible for specific mRNA codon recognition, and the 3' end, to which the tRNAs corresponding amino acid is attached (by aminoacyl-tRNA synthetases). tRNAs cope with the degeneracy of the genetic code in two manners: having more than one tRNA (with a specific anti-codon) for a particular amino acid; and 'wobble' base-pairing, i.e. permitting non-standard base-pairing at the 3rd anti-codon position.
Source: RNAcentral